Molecule: small nucleolar RNA, 112 nt
Organism: Rattus norvegicus (Norway rat)
Lineage: Eukaryota; Metazoa; Chordata; Mammalia; Rodentia; Muridae
Product: small nucleolar RNA SNORA17
Source: Ensembl
CCUGACUCUAGGAGUGUAGCAGCUGUGGCUGAUGUGUCACAUGUAUGUCAGGAGGUAGCAGAAGGGAGAAGGACUAUGUUCUGCCUAUCUGAAUGAUUUUUAGCCUAAUAUU